CAGCAAGAAAUUUCAGUGAAGUUCGGGAAAUGAACAUUCAUAACAUUAAUUCUGUUUUAAUCCCCUUUUGAUCAGAUUUGUAGCUGCUUCAAUCGAAUAGUUAUAGUUAAGGAUGGAUUCAAAUUAGUAAAGUCUCAGUCCAAGACGAGCCACUCGUGCCAAGGCACUUUCACUCGUGCCAAGGCACUAAGGGGCGUGCACGACAACGAUGAUCUCGGACGGAUCUGGGAACAAGAAUGAUGUCAGUCGUCUACCUCGUGAGUCAUACGAUACGUGUGACCGAUUUUCAAUUUCCGGGUUGUGUGGAUAAUGCAAAAUACGAUCCAGUAUUUACCUUGAUUAUUCCCUUUCUCAAGCAAAACUUGUACAGUUAUUCAGUUAGAUCUCUGAGGAGAAAUCCCAUUAAGACCUCGUCGGAGAUGAACUCGCAAAUAAGCUUGGCAAUGGUCCUCAUUUUGUGCCUAAGCAACGCGGCUGGGAAAAAGAAUGUUACGUUAGGGUAAUAUAUGAAGACAUGGUUGAUCAUCGCAGUUAUACACACAACAUAAGCAGUAGUGAAAUUAAC
This 565-nucleotide unclassified non-coding RNA is filed under the name Orbicella faveolata. RNAcentral describes it as "uncharacterized transmembrane protein DDB_G0289901- like, transcript variant X2". Lineage: Eukaryota; Metazoa; Cnidaria; Anthozoa; Scleractinia; Merulinidae. The record is from RNAcentral.